Molecule: long non-coding RNA, 1988 nt
Organism: Oreochromis aureus
Lineage: Eukaryota; Metazoa; Chordata; Actinopteri; Cichliformes; Cichlidae
Source: Ensembl
GCGUCUGGACUUCUUUGAGUUGCUUGAAGACGUUUCACCUCUCAUCCGAGAAGCUUCUUCAGUUCUAAGGUCAAAUGGCCGAGGGUCCCAGAUUUAAACCCAGUGGGAGUAUCCCCCCCAAAGAGGGACAAAGGACCCCCUGGUGAUCCUCUAAUCACAUGAGCCAAGGUGUGAGAAAGCGGGUGUGGUACCUAAUCAGCCAGGGUUUCGGGUGAGCCCAUUGUGAAACCUGGCCCCACCUUGUCAUGUGAAUUCCUGAGGUCAGAUGGCCCAGGAUGUGAGUGGGCGUUAAGGCGUCUGGGGAGGGAACUCAAAACUGGAUUAUAGAUGGCAGACAGUUGGUGUCGUAGACCACCACCUCUGUUCAAAGAUGGUCGCUCACAGUGGACAUAGAUGGCCUCUUUCACUCCUCUUUCAAACCAUCUGUCCUCUCUGUCCAAAAUGUGAACAUUGGCAUCCUCGAAAGAGUGACCUUUAUCCUUAAGAUGCAGGUGGACUGCUGAGUCUUGUCCUGUGGAGGUGGCUCUUCUAUGUUGUGCCAUGCGCUUGUGAAGUGGCUGUUUGGUCUCUCUAAUGUAGAGGUCUGGGCAUUCCUCGCUGCACUGUACAGCAUACACCACGUUGUUAAGUCUGUGUUUUGGAGUUUUGUCUUUCGGGUGAACCAGUUUGUGUCUGAGUGUGUUGCUGGGUCUGAAGUACACUGGGAUGUCGUGCUUGGAGAAAACUCUCCUGAGUUUCUCUGAUACACCGGCUACAUAGGGGAUGACAACGUUGUUGCGUCUGUCUUUCUUAUCCUCCCUCGCUGGUGUCUGAUCUUCUUUUCUGUGCCUCUUUGCUGACUUUAUAAACGCCCAGUUAGGAUAACCGCAUGUUUUGAGUGCUUCCUUUACGUGUGUGUGUUCCUUCUUUUUUCCCUCAGGCUUAGAGGGAACAAGUUCUGCCCGGUGGUGCUGAAGAAGCUUCUCGGAUGAGAGGUGAAACGUCUUAAAGCAACUCAAAGAAGUCCAGACGCUUUUUUUAUUUCUAAACAAUAUUGUCACAAACUUUUCUCCAGCUAACAUCCUGCCCUGACUUUUUAUGCUCACUUUUAUUACUCUGUGUUAAGCAAAGGGUAAAGGUCUUUGUAUGCUCCGAAUGGGAGGAGGCACUUUUGCUAAGAGGUUUGCUUGUACUUCCUGCUUCCUCUAAAGGCUUGUUUCCCGACUUCGCAGCCAAUAUUCAGACUGAUUUUUUUUCUCAAGAGGAUUUGUUUACGUUUUUCUUCUUCUCUGAGAGAUGCUCUUGAGAAGCAUCAGUGUUGUGCUGAUUGUCCUGUCAGUCCUGGAGCUCUGCAUCACCAUCAGCUCUUCCAUCCUGGGGAUCAAAUCUCUGAGGAGGAAGGACAAGGGAAAAAAUGAGAGCACUGAUGACUCAGAGUCGACCAAACCACUGCUGGAGGAAGUCACUGCACAGGCUGUAGCCUAAAUGUCUUUGUUCAGUUACCAGGAAUCAUGUUCCUGUGCCUUUAUGACCUACAACUAACUUGAUGUCUUGAUGAUUUAUACUAAUUAAGACUUUGUCUUCCUAAGUGCUUCUUGAAAGGAAGACAUUAUACCAAAUUGAAUCAAUUGAUAAUAUCGUUGUUGUGUUGAUUAAAAUUUAAGUUGAGAUAAGUGCCUUAAGUUUGUUGGUAAAAAUGUGUUUAUUCUUGAGAAAUAUGGGGUUAUUUUCUUUGCCAUUCUACAAUGUAUAGUGACAAUAUUAAAAAAGUUAGAAAAGAAUAUAAAUAAAAAAAAUACUGACAGUUAAAAGCAGAUAUUACACUUAUAUUGACAUAUUUUUGUAGGCUAUUUGUGAAAUGUCAGAAUAAAGAGAGAACUGUUAUGUAUUUUUUAUUGCUUUCAUUAAAGUCAGAAGUAUACAUAUACUUCCUUAGUAUUUGGUAGAAUUGCCCCGUUACUGUUUCACUUGGGCCAAAUGUUUCAGAUAUCCUUCCACCAGCUUUCUAC